GUAAUUCCUGUCUAUUAAUUGUAGGCCAAUGAAAGGAUUGACGGGCUAAAAUUGUCUCUUUUAUGAAAGAAGAAUUUAACUUUGCAGUGAAGAGGCCUGCAAUGCAUUAAAAGGACGAGAAGACCCUGUCAAACUUUAGUAUAGGGUGAAAUCUGUAGUUAUUUACUUAAUUUUGUUUAAUAUUUUAGUUGGGGCAACUUAGAAGGAUAAAUACUUUUAUGACACGAUAUUGUAAUUUAUAGGUGAUUUUAUCCGAAAUAAUUGUGACACACAAGUAAUUUAGAUUUUUGAAUAUAGAAUAAGUUACUGG
Molecule: ribosomal RNA, 310 nt
Filed under: Ledella sublevis
Lineage: Eukaryota; Metazoa; Mollusca; Bivalvia; Nuculanida sp.; Nuculanidae
Description: partial small subunit ribosomal RNA
Source: RNAcentral